CCUACGGGUUGCAGCAGUGGGGAAUAUUGGACAAUGGGCGGAAGCCUGAAGCAGCCAUGCCGCGUGAAGGCAAGUGCCCUUCGGGCUUUAAACUUCUUUUAUGCGGGAGCAAUAAGGGCCACGUAUGGCCCGAUGAAAGUACCGCACGACUCAGCAUCAGCUCACUCCGUGCCAGCAGCCGCGGUAAUACGGGGGAUGCGAGCGUUAUCCGGAUUUAUUGGGUUUAAAGGUUACGUAGGCGGCGCUUUAGGUCAGCGGUGAAAUACCAGGGCUCAACCCCGGGGCUGCCGUUGAAACCGGAGCGCUAGAAUUCCGAUGCGGUCGGAGGAAUGGGUGGUGUAGCGGUGAAAUGCAUAGAGAUC
RNAcentral lists this ribosomal RNA (362 nucleotides) under uncultured bacterium. Its description in RNAcentral is "partial 16S ribosomal RNA". It matches the Rfam family "Bacterial small subunit ribosomal RNA", at positions 338 to 698 of the family's 1533-position model. The record is from RNAcentral.